GUCCACGCCGUAAACGAUGGAUACUAGCUGUUCGGAGCAAUCUGAGUGGCUAAGCGAAAGUGAUAAGUAUCCCACCUGGGGAGUACGCACGCAAGUGUGAAACUCAAAGGAAUUGACGGGGGCCCGCACAAGCGGUGGAGCAUGUGGUUUAAUUCGAUGAUACGCGAGGAACCUUACCAGGGCUUAAAUGUAGAUUGACAGGACUGGAAACAGUUUUUCUUCGGACAAUUUACAAGGUGCUGCAUGGUUGUCGU
This 254-nucleotide ribosomal RNA is filed under the name uncultured bacterium. RNAcentral describes it as "partial 16S ribosomal RNA". It matches the Rfam family "Bacterial small subunit ribosomal RNA", at positions 793 to 1055 of the family's 1533-position model. The record is from RNAcentral.